GCGUACACCAAAUCCCCUGAAUGCACCCGAUCUCAUCGAAUCUGGGAAGCUAAGAAGAGGGUUGAGCCUGGUUAGUACUCGGAUGGGUGACCGCCAGGGCUUUCCAGGUGUUGUAAGCU
Molecule: ribosomal RNA, 119 nt
Filed under: Petromyzon marinus (sea lamprey)
Lineage: Eukaryota; Metazoa; Chordata; Hyperoartia; Petromyzontiformes; Petromyzontidae
Source: RNAcentral